CCUACGGGUGGCAGCAGUGAGGAAUAUUGGUCAAUGGACGAGAGUCUGAACCAGCCAAGUAGCGUGAAGGAUGACUGCCCUAUGGGUUGUAAACUUCUUUUAUAUGGGAAUAAAAUGUUCCACGUGUGGGAUUUUGUAUGUACCAUAUGAAUAAGGAUCGGCUACCUCCGUUCCAGCAGCCGCGGUAAUACGGAGGAUCCGAUCGUUAUCCGGAUUUAUUGGGUUUAAAGGGAGCGUAGGUGGAUUGUUAAGUCAGUUGUGAAAGUUUGCGGCUCAACCGUAAAAUUGCAGUUGAAACUGGCAGUCUUGAGUACAGUAGAGGUGGGCGGAAUUCGUGGUGUAGCGGUGAAAUGCUUAGAUAUCACGAAGAACUCCGAUUGCGAAGGCAGUUCACUGGACUGCAACUGACACUGAGGCUCGAAAGUGUGGGUAUCAAACAGGAUUAGAUACCCCUGUAGUC
This 460-nucleotide ribosomal RNA is filed under the name uncultured bacterium. RNAcentral's name for it is "partial 16S ribosomal RNA". It matches the Rfam family "Bacterial small subunit ribosomal RNA", at positions 338 to 795 of the family's 1533-position model. The record is from RNAcentral.